Molecule: ribosomal RNA, 433 nt
Filed under: uncultured bacterium
Lineage: Bacteria
Description: partial 16S ribosomal RNA
Rfam family: Bacterial small subunit ribosomal RNA
Source: RNAcentral
AACGAACGCUGGCGGCAUGCCUAACACAUGCAAGUCGAACGAGACCUUCGGGUCUAUUGGCGCACGGGUGCGUAACGCGUGGGAACCUGCCCUUAGGUUCGGAAUAACUCCCCGAAAGGGGUGCUAAUACCGGAUAAUGUCUUCGGACCAAAGAUUUAUCGCCUUUGGAUGGGCCCGCGUUGGAUUAGCUAGUUGGUAGGGUAAAAGCCUACCAAGGCGACGAUCCAUAGCUGGUCUGAGAGGAUGAUCAGCCACACUGGGACUGAGACACGGCCCAGACUCCUACGGGAGGUAGCAGUGGGGAAUAGUGGACAAUGGGCGAAAGCCUGAUCCAGCAAUGCCGCGUGAGUGAUGAAGGCCUUAGGGUUGUAAAGCUCUUUUAACCGGGAUGAUAAUGACAGUACCGGGAGAAUAAGCUCCGGCUAACUCCGUG